Molecule: long non-coding RNA, 605 nt
Filed under: Canis lupus familiaris (dog)
Lineage: Eukaryota; Metazoa; Chordata; Mammalia; Carnivora; Canidae
Description: lncRNA (ENSCAFG00000047337.2, ENSCAFG00845023006.1)
Source: RNAcentral
UGGCUCUUAGUGCAGGAGUCACAACAGGCAAUUCAGUAACUCCUAGAAGCUUCACAAGUUGGGACACAACUCCUGUUUUCAAACCAUUUCAAUCCAUUCAUUUGGACCUCAUCAGUAAGCAAAAGAUAAGAAGUGUGACGGUGGCCGUGACCACCAUAAUUACAGAUGUGGGAAGUUGACUUCCUAAGAUCCCAGACACCAGUGGAGAACAGAGUGGCCUGGAGGCCGAGGCAAUUCCUAGCUAGCUAUCUGAGUCUUGGCCUUCAUUCCAGAGAAUCUGGGAGUCCAGCCAUGUCAGAUGCCAUAAAGGGUCAUGGACUUCUGGCUGCUUGUACUCACAUCCCUGGAUAUCUGAGACUUCCUUCUCAUCUUUUAAAAUGUUCACUGUGAAGCCCUUCUUGAUCCAGCUCAGGUGUGUUGGCUGACCCCUUCUCUAUGUGAAUAAAUUUUAACAGCAACUGUGGCUAUUUAGAUAAAUUCAUUAACUAAUUAAUUCAAAUGUCUCUUUAAACUGGUGCAGCCACUCUGGAAAACUGUGUGGAGGUUCCUCAAAGAGUUAAAAAUAGACCUGCCCUACGACCCAGCAAUUGCACUGUUGGGGAUUU